UCUAUAACAUAACUUUUUAUUGAUUAAAAAAAAAAAGCAAAAUCAUAUUGAUUGUGCUGUGGGCAUUGGGCACAUGGUGUAGCCAAAGUCCAAGUGUAGUGCUUUCUUGGGCCAUUUGGCAGAUAGAUGGAUCUGGCACAAGAAAAUAAAUCAGACAACAAGGCCACUCACAUGCAUGUUCUCUCCAUCCCCAUCCCAUAUGCUCUUUCUAUAACUCCCUCGUGACCAGUGUACCAUUCCAUUCCUGAUUUCGGUUCCAUAAGGAGAUGAUCAAAUUUUAUGAUUUUCUAAAUUGAAACAGAUCUCCAAUGUGAAAUCAAGUUAGAUCAUAAAUCUUGGAUCUUAUAUUGUGAUUUUGAUUCCACAGCAACGUCUGUGAUUUCGAUUCAACAACAAUAGGAGAUGAUCAAAUUUUAUGUGUUUAUUAUCUCUCUACUCCUGUGAUCUAGAAUUGAGUAAAACAAUCACCUGCUUUGCUUCAUGAUCCAGCAAUUGAUAGCUAGACAGUUUUGAGUAAAACAAUCUCUUUGUUUUAUAAGUUUAAUUUAUAUUACAAAAAAUCAUUAAUUAUUACAUUUCAUUUAUAUUGGAAAAUAUUUAUCUAUAUAAGUUUAGAUUAUAUUGGAAUGCAGGAAAAGUUUCAGUUGGCAUUGUUUAAAUGCAUAGACUGAAUUUAUGUUUUUCGGUAUAUAUUAAUUAAGAUUUGCUUCUUGUGUUUUCUACCAACAUUUGUUCAGAGAGAGAAAGAGAGAUUUUUCUUUGUUCACGUUUGAGGAAUGUUAUUUUGAUUAAUUUUCGUUUCCUAAUUUAGUUAAUAGUAACUCCAUCAACAUGAAUAAUUUUCGUUUCUUAAAUGGGUGGGUGGGUACAGACAGAUUUUUCUUUGUUCACGUUUGAGGAAGCUCACACACAACAACAUGAUGGAAAGAAUGAAAGAUUCACCACCGAGAAUGGAGAAACAUGGUUCAUACUUCUUACACAUCUUCUCUCUUGAAAAACAAGGAACUUUUCAAUAUCUCAUCUCAAGUUUACUUUUAAACAAAAAACCAUUUGGCUUCCUUCUCUAUUUCACUUUUACUAUAUAGACACUAUUUUUUUUGACAGGGAGAUGAGGAUACGUGUAAAUGAAGCCAAGCCAAUCAAUCAUACCAUAUGGUAUUUUUUGUAUGUAUAAUAGAUAUAGAUAAACUAAAUUCGUGAUUCAUAAAAAUAAAAUAAAAAACCUGAUAGCAUAUCUUGUUCAAAAACAUUUAAAAAAAGAAGUGUCGCAAAACAAAAAAGAACUAGAGCAUGUUUAUAAAGAAAGCAAGGUAAUGUAAGAAGAAGGUUUUGUUAAUUUGGGA
Molecule: long non-coding RNA, 1343 nt
Organism: Lactuca sativa (garden lettuce)
Lineage: Eukaryota; Viridiplantae; Streptophyta; Magnoliopsida; Asterales; Asteraceae
Source: RefSeq, a predicted model, not a curated record